UGAAUACGAGACGCUAAGGCGUCGAAGUAGUGUAUGUCAUACUUCCAAGAAAAGCUUGCACUGUCAUAGAUAAAAAACGCCUGUACCAUAACCGACACAGGUGGGUAGGUAGAGUAUACCAAGGUGCGCGAGAUAACUCUCUCUAAGGAACUCGGCAAAAUAACUCCGUAACUUCGGGAGAAGGAGUGCCUUAUUCGUAAGGUUGCAAUAACAAGAUCCAAGCAACUGUUUAUCAAAAACACAGGUCUCCGCUAAGUCGUAAGACGAUGUAUGGGGGCUGACGCCUGCCCAGUGCCAGAAGGUUAAAGAAGUUGGUUAGCAAUUGCGAAGCUGAUAACUGAAGCCCUGGUGAACGGCGGCCGUAACAAUAACGGUCCUAAGGUAGCGAAAUUCCUUGUCGGGUAAGUUCCGACCCGCACGAAAGGCGUAAUGAUUUGGAUACUGUCUCGGAGAGGGGCUCGGUGAAAUAGACUUGUCUGUGAAGAUGCGGACUACCUGCACCAGGACAGAAAGACCCUAUGAAGCUUUACUGUAACUUGAAAUUGAAAUUGGACUUUAUUCGCGCAGUAUAGGUGGGAGGCGUUGAUUAUAAUCUUGUGGGAUUAUUGGAGCCAUCAGUGAGAUACCACUCUUGUAAUGUUAGAUUUCUAACUUUGAAUCAUUAUCUGGUCAAAGAACAGUUUCAGGCGGGCAGUUUGACUGGGGCGGUCGCCUCCUAAACGGUAACGGAGGCGUACAAAGGUUUCCUCUGAACGGUUAGAAAUCGUAUCUAGAGUGUAAAGGCAUAAGGAAGCUUGACUGUGAGACCUACAAGUCGAGCAGGGACGAAAGUCGGUCUUAGUGAUCUGACGGUACUGAGUGGAAAGGCCGUCACUCAACGGAUAAAAGUUACUCUAGGAUAACAGGCUGAUCUCCCCCAAGAGUUCACAUCGACGGGGAGGUUUGGCACCUCGAUGUCGGCUCAUCGCAUCCUGGGGCGGUAGUACGUCCCAAGGGUUGGGCUGUUCGCCCAUGAAAGCGGUACGCGAGCUGGGUUCAGAACGUCGUGAGACAGUUCGGUCCAUAUCCGGUGUAGGCGUUAGAAUAUUGAGAGGAGCCUUCUUUAGUACGAGAGGACCGAGAAGGACAUACCUCUGGUGUACCAGUUAUCGUGCCAACGGUAAACGCUGGGUAGCUAUGUAUGGAGUGGAUAACCGCUGAAAGCAUCUAAGUGGGAAGCCCACCUC
RNAcentral lists this ribosomal RNA (1226 nucleotides) under metagenome. RNAcentral describes it as "bacterial LSU rRNA". It matches the Rfam family "Bacterial large subunit ribosomal RNA", at positions 1564 to 2800 of the family's 2925-position model. The record is from RNAcentral.